RNAcentral lists this ribosomal RNA (743 nucleotides) under Fauriea orientochinensis. RNAcentral describes it as "mitochondrial SSU rRNA". It matches the Rfam family "Bacterial small subunit ribosomal RNA", at positions 352 to 1200 of the family's 1533-position model. The record is from RNAcentral. Lineage: Eukaryota; Fungi; Ascomycota; Lecanoromycetes; Teloschistales; Teloschistaceae.
CUUGGAGGAAUGUAUGGCAAUAGCUAGUUGCACUAAAAGUUUUAGUGUAAAAUCGACUAUGUUGAAUAAAAUUCUGGGUAGAAUUAUGAUAAUGACAUUAUCUGCUCAUAAGUCUUGACCAAAUUACGUGCCAGCAGUCGCGGUAAUACGUAGAAGACAAGUGUUAUUCAUCUUUAAUAGGUUUAAAGGGUACUUAGACGGUAAAUCAAGCCUCUAAAAGGGACUAAUUUGCUAGAGUUUUAUGUGAAAGAGUAUUAAAGUACUGCUGGUGUAGAGAUGAAAUUCUGUAAUACCUUGAAUGGCACAGGUUAAGGCGAAAGCAUCUUUUUAUGUAAAAACUGACGUUGAAGGACGAAGGCUUUGUGUCUCGAACAGGAUUAGAUACCCUAGUAGUCUAAGCAGACAAUGAUGAAUGUCAUAGAUUAGAUAUAAUUUGAUCUAUAAAUGAAAGUGUAAGCAUUCCACCUCAAGAGUAAUUUGGCAACAUUGGAACUGAAAUCAUUAGACCGUUUCUGAAACCAGUAGUGAAGUAUGUUGUUUAAUUUGAUGAUCCGCAAAAAACCUUACCACAAUUUGAAUAGAUAUAUUAUAUCAUACAAGCGUUGCACGGCUGUCUUCAGUUAAUGUCGUGAGACUUUGGUUAGUUCCAUAAAAUUAACGUAAACCCUUACUUUAUUUUUAUAUAAAGUAGUUCACCGCUAUAUUGGAUGUGAUAAUAGGGAUCAAGACAAGUCAUCAUGACC